CGCCGCCGUAUCUGUCGCCGGUGAUUCAGGCAUUUGGCCCAUGGAAAAUUGGAGCAAUCUGUACAUUCAAAAGGAAAGACUUUUAGCUUCCUCAGUACCAAGUUGCAUCUGAAUGUGAUGAAAAUUUCGAAAUUACCCUGAGUUCCAAUUAGAACUGCGAAAAUUCAAGUAAAUUUAAAAAAUUUCGUCGAACCCACUACAGGGGAAGAAGAAAUCUUCAAUCUUUCCAUGGUCGGAAUAGGAUCAAGAACAUAAAACACCGAAAUCAUAUCGAUAAACGAAAUCGGAGCGAAUUGAAUGCAGGAUUUCUUCUUAAAAAAGCUCUGUAAACGAGUAUCAGACCAUCGAUGAAGCAAACCAGUCCAAAUAUCAAGCAAUAUAUCCCAAUGAAAUCCCAUAUCCAGAUUUUCCGAUUGCUUUACAAAUUGAGGGAAAAUAGUAAUCAAACAGAGGUAGAAGUUGAAGAUGAUUUACCACUGCCGGUUUUCUGAGUUCUUCAGCUGCUUGCUUGCUGAGUGGGUUUUUUUCAGGUGAGGCGGUUUUCAAAAUUGGAGAAGAACUGAUCGAGAUGAAUGAUAAUAAUCAAUUUGAAUCCGACACGGAAACGGAGAAUUUUACUGUAAAUGGUCGGUUUUGGGGGGAGGGGAAUGGGAAUGCGUGUGCAGAGUGGAGAACGAACGAGGGAAGAAGGGUGGGAUUCUUAAGGAUGACGUUAAUUAAUAUUUUAGUAUAUGGGAAAUUACGUGUCGGUCCUUGGCGGGUGUUUUUAUACUGGAAGUGGCAAGGAUUUAGGAAUUGACGCAAGUGUCCCUUGACACGUACGAGUUUUUAGCUGCCGACGUGGCGGCCGGCUCGGGGGGAAAUUGAACUUCAUUUAUCAGUAGAGGCGUCAGCAUACUUG
Molecule: long non-coding RNA, 901 nt
Filed under: Linum usitatissimum (flax)
Lineage: Eukaryota; Viridiplantae; Streptophyta; Magnoliopsida; Malpighiales; Linaceae
Description: long non-coding RNA (LUSI_LNC006481)
Source: RNAcentral